CGGAUGUAUGAGGCUGUCCUAAAAUUAACACUUUAGGUAUGACUCUGGGACGAAAAAAACUUGAUGUACUAAAUGUUGAAAACCACGAAACAUGAGAGUAGUAAAUAGAAUUAAACCCUUCUAUAUAUAAUGCGCUUAAGGGAGUAAAAUGUUCCAACUUUUGUGACAAGUUGAAAAUUUUCAGUUUUGCUAAAUGACAUAUAUAUUUGUUAUAGUGAGAGAUAUCAACUAUGUGAAGAAAGUUGAGGUUUCACCAUAAAACUAAUUGACAAUAUGGGAAAUAGUGAUGUUAUUCCCACACCGAUGUCUUAUCUUCCCAUCCACCUUUUAAUGAAUUUUUUAAUUACAAAUUUGUCCAUUUACAAAAAGACUGAUAAGGACAUUAAUUAUCUUGUUUUGCUUAAUUUAAAUAAAAUAAAAAAAUAGGCUGGGCAUGGAAGACAAUUUGUCUACCUUAAACCCUAAAUCAUAUUUUCAUCUCCUUUCAUUCAGAGAAAGUAAAAAAAUAGCAAUGGACUUAGAAGGUGACUUUUUCAUUGAACAGGUAGAAGAUGACGCUUCUACGAAAGAGGUAGAAGAUUAUGUUUCCAUUGAAAAGGUAGAAGAAUAAUUUGUGUGUAGGUCAUUUGAAUUUGUCCAUCGUAUUUUUAAAUUUGUCGUUGUCGAAUUCUUUUGAAUUUGGGUACUUCUGUCAUUUCCAUUUGAAUUUGCAGACCUUAGUGGUUUUCAUUUACAUAUUAUUUGUUAUAUUUUUUAAGAGACAAUUUUAUAAUUUCAUAUGUAUGUAUAUAUUAAAGGUUAUUUUAGGAAUAAUAGUGGGUGGGAAAAUAACAUUUUAAUUUUUUAACUUUUUAAGGUGGGUGAGAUUAUAACGUGGGUGGGAAAAUAAGACAAUGGGGUGGGACUAGUAGCUCUAAAAAAUCACCCAACUUACUUAUAAGCCUUUGCAAAAUUUCUCUUUUCACAGAUAUGGGACUCUUUAACCUUUGCGUACUCACAUGCCCCUCACGUGUGGCGAAUUUUCAAGCCUAACACGUGGACAACACAACUCCGGUGAUGUGGAGCACGUGUAGCUGUUGAGCUCACAUGUGAGACAACCUGCUAUGAGACCAUAAAGAGAAUUGAGGUUCUUUCAUAAAACCAAUUGGCAAUAUAUAAAUCCUUGCAAGGUUUAUCCUUUCACCAAUUUGGGACUCUUCCACCUUUUGUUUUUCUACAAAAAAAAAAAAAAAAGACGGAAAAUCCUCUCACACUCUAUUUGGAUGAGGAAAUUUAAGAUUUUUAAGGAAUUUUAUAAUGAUGGAAAUUGAAAUGACGGAAUUUUAUUUUCUAGAAUUUGUGAAUUUUAUUGUUUUGUUAACCUAAAAGAACAAUAGAAUUUGAAUACGAAAUUUGUUAUUUUUGAGCUCUAACUUAUAUAAAUUAAGAAAUAAUAUCUAUUUACAUGGAAUUUAAACUUGAGAAUUGGAGGUCCCAAAUUUCAAGUUUUUUUUUUCCACGCGAAAAUUUUAAAUUUCUAUGUUUAUGAAUCCAAAUAAGAGAAUUGAUGCAUGUCAAUUUAUAAAUUCUAACUUUUUUCUGAAAUUUCAAAUUUAUUUCCCUCAUUCAAACAUAGUGUUAAACGACUAAAAUUGAAAUAAUACAAGAAUCAAGUUGAUCUUGCCUCAUUAGUCAUUAGGAAGAGUCAUUUAUAUAACAAUCCAACAAGAAGAAGACAUCAGCCAUAGCAUUUGUCACAAAGUUUGCUUCUAAUAAAUAUGUUGAAAUUCAAUGGCAAAUGAAAAUGGUACCGUUAACAACACCAAUAAGGACUUUAAAAUCUCCCUCCACUUCCAAGUUGGUAUAUAUAGAUAUAUGGUCCAUCUUAUGUUGCCCUAUUUCUUGUCAAUUGUCAUGCUUUUGUUUUAGAUUUACCAAAGGGAUUUCCUUACUAUAU
Molecule: long non-coding RNA, 1936 nt
Filed under: Malus domestica (apple)
Lineage: Eukaryota; Viridiplantae; Streptophyta; Magnoliopsida; Rosales; Rosaceae
Description: long non-coding RNA (MDOM_LNC020526)
Source: RNAcentral